Rhipicephalus microplus (southern cattle tick) is the source of this 669-nucleotide long non-coding RNA. NCBI's taxonomy places the organism in Eukaryota, Metazoa, Arthropoda, Arachnida, Ixodida, Ixodidae. The record is from RefSeq and is a predicted model, not a curated record.
AGUUGGUAAACCCCGGUUAACACACUGCGCGCACAGAAAACUGCGCCAAUUUCGACAAACUUAAAGCGUAGUAAAACUGACGCCUUCGUGUUGUGUUCUUGUGAGUCGACGGAAGACGGAAGCACUUUUACACAAGUUUGUCUCUCGGAUACAGUUCUUCGUGACGUGGACGUUUCGUUCGUUAUUACCAAAUUUCGAGCGAAAGUGACACGUGGUUCCAGCUGUGUGCUGCCAAGAUAAAAAGUAAUGAGUGGCGCCGCCGUCUUCCGCUAGCGCUUCAAUUGUUAAGACCUCAAGGUGCGCAACUAAGCGGAGGUUCGAUGCCGCUUAGCAACUUUCCGUUUCGCCAUCAUGGCGUGCGUCGGACCCAUCACACCAGGCUGGACCAGCCAAUCGAUGCGGUCGUUUAUGUCAGUGUUGUGUUCGUGCUCUUCGCUGCCAUCAUUCUGCUGUUGGUCGCCACUACCUGCCGUCGCUUCCAGCCGGGAGGUUUAUCCAGCCCUCCAGAGGAGCCACCAGAAAACAACAGCGAGCCCCGGCCAACAAUAGUCAGGCUUAAGGACCACCGCACCCGUGUGUGCACGGAGACGCUGCCGACGAGGAACACUGUGUAAAUGGGCAGCGUUAAGCAUUGCGCUGCGCUGGACCAGUGUUGAAAUUGUCACCAUC